Molecule: ribosomal RNA, 1438 nt
Filed under: uncultured organism
Description: 16S ribosomal RNA
Rfam family: Bacterial small subunit ribosomal RNA
Source: RNAcentral
CAGGCUUAACACAUGCAAGUCGAGGGGCAGCAUUUUAGUUUGCUUGCAAACUGAAGAUGGCGACCGGCGCACGGGUGAGUAACACGUAUCCAACCUGCCGAUAACUCCGGGAUAGCCUUUCGAAAGAAAGAUUAAUACCGGAUAGUAUACGAAUAUCGCAUGAUAUUUUUAUUAAAGAAUUUCGGUUAUCGAUGGGGAUGCGUUCCAUUAGUUUGUUGGCGGGGUAACGGCCCACCAAGACUACGAUGGAUAGGGGUUCUGAGAGGAAGGUCCCCCACAUUGGAACUGAGACACGGUCCAAACUCCUACGGGAGGCAGCAGUGAGGAAUAUUGGUCAAUGGGCGCGAGCCUGAACCAGCCAAGUAGCGUGAAGGAUGAAGGCUCUAUGGGUCGUAAACUUCUUUUAUAUGGGAAUAAAGUUUUCCACGUGUGGAAUUUUGUAUGUACCAUAUGAAUAAGGAUCGGCUAACUCCGUGCCAGCAGCCGCGGUAAUACGGAGGAUCCGAGCGUUAUCCGGAUUUAUUGGGUUUAAAGGGAGCGUAGGUGGAUUGUUAAGUCAGUUGUGAAAGUUUGCGGCUCAACCGUAAAAUUGCAGUUGAAACUGGCAGUCUUGAGUACAGUAGAGGUGGGCGGAAUUCGUGGUGUAGCGGUGAAAUGCUUAGAUAUCACGAAGAACUCCGAUUGCGAAGGCAGCUCACUAGACUGUCACUGACACUGGUGCUCGAAAGUGUGGGUAUCAAACAGGAUUAGAUACCCUGGUAGUCCACACAGUAAACGAUGAAUACUCGCUGUUUGCGAUAUACAGUAAGCGGCCAAGCGAAAGCAUUAAGUAUUCCACCUGGGGAGUACGCCGGCAACGGUGAAACUCAAAGGAAUUGACGGGGGCCCGCACAAGCGGAGGAACAUGUGGUUUAAUUCGAUGAUACGCGAGGAACCUUACCCGGGCUUAAAUUGCAACAGAAUAUAUUGGAAACAGUAUAGCCGUAAGGCUGUUGUGAAGGUGCUGCAUGGUUGUCGUCAGCUCGUGCCGUGAGGUGUCGGCUUAAGUGCCAUAACGAGCGCAACCCUUAUCUUUAGUUACUAACAGGUUAUGCUGAGGACUCUAGAGAGACUGCCGUCGUAAGAUGUGAGGAAGGUGGGGAUGACGUCAAAUCAGCACGGCCCUUACGUCCGGGGCUACACACGUGUUACAAUGGGGGGUACAGAAGGCGGCUACCUGGUGACAGGAUGCUAAUCCCAAAAACCUCUCUCAGUUCGGAUCGAAGUCUGCAACCCGACUUCGUGAAGCUGGAUUCGCUAGUAAUCGCGCAUCAGCCAUGGCGCGGUGAAUACGUUCCCGGGCCUUGUACACACCGCCCGUCAAGCCAUGAAAGCCGGGGGUACCUGAAGUACGUAACCGCAAGGAGCGUCCUAGGGUAAAACUGGUAAUUGGGGCUAA